Molecule: ribosomal RNA, 438 nt
Filed under: uncultured bacterium
Lineage: Bacteria
Description: bacterial SSU rRNA
Rfam family: Bacterial small subunit ribosomal RNA
Source: RNAcentral
GAUGAACGCUAGCGGAAGGCUUAAUACAUGCAAGUCGAGCGGUAGGUGGCUUCGGCCAUUGAGAGCGGCGCACGGGUGAGUAACGCGUACAUGACCUGCCUGUCAGAAGGGGAUAGCCCUGGGAAACUGGGAUUAAUACCCUAUGGUAUUGAUAUUAUGAAUGAUAUCAAUUAAAGUUGAGGCGCUGACAGAUGGAUGUGCGUCUGAUUAGCUAGUUGGUAGGUAACGGCCUACCAAGGCGACGAUCAGUAGGGGCGUGAGAGCGUGGUCCCCCACACGGGUACUGAGACACGGACCCGACUCCUACGGGAGGCAGCAGUAAGGAAUACUUGGGUCAAUGCCCGCAAGGGUGAACCAGCCAUUCCGCGUGGAGGAUGAAGGCCCUAUGGUUGUAAACUUCUUUAGAUGGGAGAAAUGCUAGAUGUAUCUGGUACUGAC